CCCUUAGGUGUUCUGGGCCGCACGCGCGCUACACUGACGGAGGCAGCGAGCAUGUCCUUCGCCGAGAGGUGUGGGGAAUCUUGUGAGUCUCCGUCGUGCUGGGGAUAGAUGGUUGCAAUUGUCGAUCUUGAACGAGGAAUUCCUAGUAAGCGCGAGUCAUCAGCUCGCGCUGAUUACGUCCCUGCCCUUUGUACACACCGCCCGUCGCUACUACCGAUUGGAUGGUUUAGCGAGAGCCUUGGAUCGGAGCCCAGGUGGUCAGCGAUGGCCGCCCGGGAAUUUGAGAAAUUGCUCCAGCUUGAUCAUCUAGAGGAAGUAAAAGUCGUAACA
RNAcentral lists this ribosomal RNA (330 nucleotides) under uncultured eukaryote. RNAcentral's name for it is "partial 18S ribosomal RNA". It matches the Rfam family "Eukaryotic small subunit ribosomal RNA", at positions 1470 to 1796 of the family's 1831-position model. The record is from RNAcentral.